UAAAUUUUUUUUUUUUUUUUUUUUUUUUUUUUUUUUUUUUUUUUUUUUUUGCUGCCGUAGAAAAUGGAAAUGAGAUUUUAAGGGGGCAAAAGUUGAUGUUCUUUUUGUUUAAAAAAUUUUGAUGUGAAAAAAAUUAUUUAGUGUGAAUUUAUUAGGAUUAAAGAAUGGAAAACUACUUGUACUCCUCACUCAAAAUUUCUCACACAUAACUAAGGCACUAAGAGCCGCAAAACUUAGUCCAAUUUUUACUCAUGUUCCGCAUUCGUCGAAUAGUCAAAAAAGAGUCAAAUGAUUGGCUCCUAAAAAUAAUAUUAUUUUUUUCUCGUCAGAUCAUCCACUAACAGGUUACGAUCCUGGUUAGAUCCCUCGCAACUGCCCCUUGGCGGUGGUCCCUA
This 395-nucleotide long non-coding RNA is filed under the name Ananas comosus (pineapple). RNAcentral's name for it is "long non-coding RNA (ACOM_LNC004407)". Lineage: Eukaryota; Viridiplantae; Streptophyta; Magnoliopsida; Poales; Bromeliaceae. The record is from RNAcentral.